RNAcentral lists this long non-coding RNA (968 nucleotides) under Eutrema salsugineum. Its description in RNAcentral is "long non-coding RNA (ESAL_LNC000386)". The record is from RNAcentral. Lineage: Eukaryota; Viridiplantae; Streptophyta; Magnoliopsida; Brassicales; Brassicaceae.
UUCAAGUAUGAAAUCAACAUAGUAUUUUUUUUUUUCUCUGAUGAUCAUGAAAGAACACAUAAACUACAAAGGUGUAUUUCAAAAAAAAAAACUACAAAGACGUAAUGUAAAAGCAAAAGUAGGGAACCAAAAUGAGGUUGAGUAGAUAAAGCAGACUUGCAGAGUCUGUUCUACCUUUUCAAAAUAAUCAAUUUCACUAUGCAACUAAAAAUGUGACCGUAGAGUUUCACUUCAAAACCACCAAAAAAAGAAGGAAGAAAUAUAAUAUGGUAAUGGAACCUCUCUUCAUAAAGGAAUACAGAUUUCAUACUUUGAUUUCCAUGAUCACAUCAGGAUUUCAAGAGUGAAGCUAAAGAGAGUUUUCAGGUCCUUCAAAAGCUCCAUGCUGAUGAAAAAAUGACCGCUUGUUACAAUGGAUUAAGGUUAAUAAUAAGAAAAAUCGAUAACAGGUUUCAGACUGUUCAAAACAAAACAAAACAAAAAAAACCAGGUCUGAGACCACACCAACAAACCUGAUUUAAAGAAGAGUCAAUUAGCUUCGAACCAUUCUCUACCUUCAAUAUGUUGUUACACACAUCUUUUCUGCAACGAAUUUCAGAAAUACAAAAAGUUAUCAAUUGUGUUUUUCAAAAUAGAAUGAAAAAAAUGAUGAGAGAUAUCAGGUAUGUGAAUAGAUAGAAUCACUGCAAAUGCUAAGACUAUAGUCGCCACAUAAAAUAAAAUAUUCUUCUCGAAUAUUGAUAAAUAACAAAUUGCAGUCAAAAUUGAUAACUUGAUAUAUCCCAGACAAAAGAAAACCCUUUCUAGUUAAAAAAAAACCCUCGAUAUAAAUAAAACAAAAAGUAAGCAUGACAAUCACCACUACGAAAACCAACAUUGAUGCCUUAAAAUACCUAUAUGCUUUCGGUUUUAGAAGGCUCUGAAUAAGUGUUCAUCCAAAAUUCAUGUAAUCAAUUGUUCAAGUAUCG